This 815-nucleotide long non-coding RNA is filed under the name Homo sapiens (human). RNAcentral describes it as "non-protein coding lnc-PLAT-3:1". The record is from RNAcentral. Lineage: Eukaryota; Metazoa; Chordata; Mammalia; Primates; Hominidae.
GCGACUCCCCCGGGGCGGGGGUGGCGUGUGGUCUCUAGACAACUGAGGGAAAGUAGACAGACCGUGCUCACCGAUUUAAAAGAACAGCCCUGAAAUGACCCCCGUUACACCCUGUUCUCUUUAGACAAGUUACUUCCACCUGGAGCGGUUUCUGGGCCCGGGUAUGGGGAUUUCUUCACCCGGCCCCCUAGGCUUUCACCUCGGUGGAAUUUCCCGCGCCCCCGCUGGGAUGAUUUAGGGACUGUUGGCUAGAACUGCCCUUGCCUACCGCCCUACUGCGGGCGCUCCCCUGUCUGGGGGGUGCUUGGCUGGGUGUGGAGAAGGAUCAAUCACAGCUGACUCCUCAGAGGUGACAGCCCCUGCCCCCUUAAAAACAAGAAAAGACCUAGCAGUGUGAAGCCAAACUGCACCCCCAGCCCCGGUGACAUGAGGAAACCGUGAGGCGCUCAGCCUGAGGUUCAUCGUUCAUCUCCUUCCUGCUUGGAAUCAGAAUGUCCUCACUGCUGAGUUUCUCCGUUUUAUGGGAUUACAUUAGUGGACAAAGGAGUGAAGCAAAGCAGCACUGAGCUCCUCCAAGUAAAGAAAGAAUUGUUUUCUGUACAACCUGGAGCUGAAUCAUAGAAGGAGAAGACAGCUUGAAAGAUAAGAGGCCGUAAGGCAGACCACAGAGGAUGGGGAGGAUUUCCCCAGCACCCCAGCCCCCAUAGUCAGCUCUGGUUCAGCGAUUUCAGCAACUCUUUCAUGACCCAUCUGAUUUUGUUUUAUCCCAGCCCUGCAGAGAAAGGACUCUGCAGGUCAGGACUUGCUUCUUCAAC